CAAGUAUAGUAAAAUAAGGGCAAGAAUCAGCACCACUGCAGUUCCGACAAUGGCGACUUGAGCCAGAGGCGAAGAUGGUUGUUGCAGAUUUGGAGAUAUGGUUGAUGUUGUCCAAGUAUGAAAGGGCUACAAAUGUAAAAUAUUUCAAGAGUUAAGAUUUUUUUUUUUUUUUUUCUAUCUCGUGGCUGAGUUUUAGUUGGUAAUUCUUUGCUAUUCUGUAUAAAACGGUCAAGCCAAAGUUAUUAAUGAUGGAACUGCAGAAAUUGGGGUUUUAUUGGGAUUAAUAUUUGUUGAGAUUUAUAUUUUUAGG
Molecule: non-coding RNA, 310 nt
Organism: Erythranthe guttata (spotted monkey flower)
Lineage: Eukaryota; Viridiplantae; Streptophyta; Magnoliopsida; Lamiales; Phrymaceae
Source: RefSeq, a predicted model, not a curated record